AGAGUUUGAUCAUGGCUCAGGAUGAACGCUAGCUACAGGCUUAACACAUGCAAGUCGAGGGGAAACGACAUCGAAAGCUUGCUUUUGAUGGGCGUCGACCGGCGCACGGGUGAGUAACGCGUAUCCAACCUGCCCACCACUUGGGGAUAACCUUGCGAAAGUAAGACUAAUACCCAAUGAUAUCUCUAGAAGACAUCUGAAGGAGAUUAAAGAUUUAUCGGUGAUGGAUGGGGAUGCGUCUGAUUAGCUUGUUGGCGGGGUAACGGCCCACCAAGGCGACGAUCAGUAGGGGUUCUGAGAGGAAGGUCCCCCANAUUGGAACUGAGACACGGUCCAAACUCCUACGGGAGGCA
This 353-nucleotide ribosomal RNA is filed under the name uncultured bacterium. RNAcentral's name for it is "bacterial SSU rRNA". It matches the Rfam family "Bacterial small subunit ribosomal RNA", at positions 8 to 350 of the family's 1533-position model. The record is from RNAcentral.